UACGGGGGGGGCAAGCGUUGUUCGGAAUUACUGGGCGUAAAGGGGUUGUAGGCGGCCAACUAAGUCCGACGUGAAAUCCCAAGGCUUAACCUUGGAACUGCGUCGGAUACUGGAUGGCUUGAAUUCGGGAGAGGGAUGCAGAAUUCCAGGUGUAGCGGUAAAAUGCGUGGAUCUCGGGAGGAACACCAAUGGCGAAGGCAGCUUCUUGGCUCAUUCCUGACGUUGAGGCACGAAAGCGUGGGGAGCGAACAGG
Molecule: ribosomal RNA, 253 nt
Filed under: uncultured bacterium
Lineage: Bacteria
Description: partial 16S ribosomal RNA
Rfam family: Bacterial small subunit ribosomal RNA
Source: RNAcentral